CGUGGGGCUCACGGUCUUCGUCCCCCGUUUGACAGAGGAGGUCGCGGGGGCCCAGAGAAGUGAAGUGACUCGCCCACAGCCACACGGCCGCCAGGCGGCGGAGCGGAAUCGGAACUCUUGACCUCCGACUCCCGACCCCGGCCUCUCUCCCACCGAGCCGCGAUCCGUCGGCAGGUCGGCGAGCUCUGGGCGCCGACCUCCCCUCGACUCCAGUUCCGGUCAGGGUGACCCUCCUUACCGGCGGCGCCGGGUUCCCUCGUCCGGUCGUACCCUGCCCCCCCGCCCCCGGCUGCCCGAGCCAGCCGAACGUGCACCCUCCGCGGCCUGGCCCGUGUCCUCGGCUGGACCCCCGCGGGUCGGCGGGCUCCGGCCCGGGCAGGGCCGAGCAAGGAGGCGGGCACGGCGAGGACCUUGCCGACCCCGCCCAGGUGAGGGGCCGUGGACCGGCGUGGAGCUUCUCGGGCCUCACCCUUCUCCAAGGGAUGGAAGCAUUCUCCGGGCCCUGUCGGGAGCUUCGAUUGAGGUGAAGUCGGUGGCGUGUGCAACACGGCGACGCUUUACGAGGAAGGGCUGAAGUGGAAAUGAAAAAUAUGAUCCUUGAAAGCUCCCUGCAGCCAACUACAGAGAGGAUUUGGAGACUUACAGUGAAAUGACUGACACUAGGUCAACCGCCAAGAGCUGUGAGUGGGCUAGGGCGUGAAGGAGGUGAUGUGGAGACAAUGGAGCUGCUAACCCUGUGGUCAACGGUGGAUCCAACUGAUUCACUCACCUCGGCCCACUUCUGCUUUUGGGAUCAUGGUGUACCAGGAAGCUGAGCCAGGAUAUCUAUAUAUCCUGCAGAGAGAUCAGACUUCCUUGGGACCAGACUGGAUCUGGAGCGUGGACCGGAGUCUUGCAUCCCCCCAACACCUGGAUUUAGAGAGAAAUUCACAAAGUCGUGACCGAGAGGAAAGAGCGCCAUCUACUGCAUCGUCAAAACCUCUCCUUUCCCCUCUGAAAGUCGUUCUUGGAGAUGUCUUCAGUAAUUUACGGUCCUGA
This 1038-nucleotide long non-coding RNA is filed under the name Ornithorhynchus anatinus (platypus). RNAcentral describes it as "lncRNA (ENSOANG00000049522.1)". Lineage: Eukaryota; Metazoa; Chordata; Mammalia; Monotremata; Ornithorhynchidae. The record is from RNAcentral.